ACACCGGCAGCUCGAGUGGUAGCCGCGUUUAUUGGGCCUAAAGCGUCCGUAGCCGGUCCGAUAAGUCUCUGGUGAAAGCCCACAGCUUAACUGUGGGAAUCGCUGGAGAUACUAUCGGACUUGAGGCCGGGAGAGGCUGGAGGUACUCCCAGGGUAGGGGUGAAAUCCUAUAAUCCUGGGAGGACCACCUGUGGCGAAGGCGUCCAGCUGGAACGGACCUGACGGUGAGGGACGAAAGCCAGGGGCGCGAACCGGAUUAGAUACCCGGGUAGUCCUGGCCGUAAACGAUGCGGACUUGGUGUUGGGACGGCUUUGAGCUGUCCCAGUGCCGAAGGGAAGCUGUUAAGUCCGCCGCCUGGGAAGUACGGCCGCAAGGCUGAA
This 381-nucleotide ribosomal RNA is filed under the name uncultured archaeon. RNAcentral's name for it is "bacterial SSU rRNA". It matches the Rfam family "Archaeal small subunit ribosomal RNA", at positions 473 to 853 of the family's 1478-position model. The record is from RNAcentral.